CAGCCCCUGCAACGACUUGCAGAUAUGAGAACCGCAGGCAGUAUCUAAUACCCAAGAGUCUGAAUUGAAAGAACUUAAUGACAAAAUUGUAUGUAUCUCAUACAUACCUUUUGAUGCAUCGCUUGCACCUGCCUUUACAGUUGCAAGAUAUAAUUUGCAAUUUCUUUUUCAGUGUCCUGCCUUGCCGUAGUGAAAGCAGGUACCCUGUCC
This 210-nucleotide long non-coding RNA is filed under the name Elaeis guineensis (African oil palm). Its description in RNAcentral is "long non-coding RNA (EGUI_LNC082683)". Lineage: Eukaryota; Viridiplantae; Streptophyta; Magnoliopsida; Arecales; Arecaceae. The record is from RNAcentral.